UGUUAUAAUGAAGAAUUGCUGAUGGU
This 26-nucleotide non-coding RNA is filed under the name Bombyx mori (domestic silkworm). The record is from RNAcentral. Lineage: Eukaryota; Metazoa; Arthropoda; Insecta; Lepidoptera; Bombycidae.